AGUGAACGCUGGCGGUAGGCCUAACACAUGCAAGUCGAACGGCAGCACAGUAAGAGCUUGCUCUUACGGGUGGCGAGUGGCGGACGGGUGAGGAAUACAUCGGAAUCUACUUUUUCGUGGGGGAUAACGUAGGGAAACUUACGCUAAUACCGCAUACGACCUACGGGUGAAAGCAGGGGAUCUUCGGACCUUGCGCGAUUGAAUGAGCCGAUGUCGGAUUAGCUAGUUGGCGGGGUAAAGGCCCACCAAGGCGACGAUCCGUAGCUGGUCUGAGAGGAUGAUCAGCCAAACUGGAACUGAGACACGGUCCAGACUCCUACGGGAGGCAGCAGUGGGGAAUAUCGGACAAUGGGCGCAAGCCUGAUCCAGCCAUACCGCGUGGGUGAAGAAGGCCUUCGGGUUGUAAAGCCCUUUUGUUGGGAAAGAAAAGCAGCAGGUUAAUACCCCGCUGUUCUGACGGUACCCAAAGAAUAAGCACCGGCUAACUUCGU
This 491-nucleotide ribosomal RNA is filed under the name uncultured bacterium. RNAcentral's name for it is "partial 16S ribosomal RNA". It matches the Rfam family "Bacterial small subunit ribosomal RNA", at positions 29 to 506 of the family's 1533-position model. The record is from RNAcentral.